AGGUUUUUGCCGACCUAUCUGUAU
This 24-nucleotide non-coding RNA is filed under the name Arabidopsis thaliana (thale cress). The record is from RNAcentral. Lineage: Eukaryota; Viridiplantae; Streptophyta; Magnoliopsida; Brassicales; Brassicaceae.